GACGUAGGGCGCGAGCGUUGUCCGGAUUUAUUGGGCGUAAAGAGCUCGUAGGUGGCUCGAUAAGUCGGGUGUUAAACCCCCAGGCUCAACCUGGGGCGCCACUCGAUACUGUCGUGGCUAGAGUCCGGUAGGGGAGCGUGGAAUUCCUGGUGUAGCGGUGAAAUGCGCAGAUAUCAGGAGGAACACCAGCGGCGAAGGCGGCGCUCUGGGCCGGAACUGACACUGAGGAGCGAAAGCGUGGGUAGCAAACAGG
RNAcentral lists this ribosomal RNA (253 nucleotides) under uncultured bacterium. RNAcentral describes it as "partial 16S ribosomal RNA". It matches the Rfam family "Bacterial small subunit ribosomal RNA", at positions 524 to 776 of the family's 1533-position model. The record is from RNAcentral.